Molecule: ribosomal RNA, 465 nt
Filed under: uncultured bacterium
Lineage: Bacteria
Description: bacterial SSU rRNA
Rfam family: Bacterial small subunit ribosomal RNA
Source: RNAcentral
CCUACGGGACGCAGCAGUAGGGAACCUUCGGCAAUGGACGAAAGUCUGACCGAGCAACGCCGCGUGAGUGAAGAAGGUUUUCGGAUUGUAAAACUCUGUUGUUAGAGAAGACCAAGUAGGAGAGUAACUGCUCUUACCUUGACGGUAUCUAACCAGAAAGCCACGGCUAACUACGUGCCAGCAGCCGCGGUAAUACGUAGGUGGCAAGCGUUGUCCGGAUUUAUUGGGCGUAAAGCGAGCGCAGGCGGUCUUUUAAGUCUGAUGUGGAAGCCCUCGGCUCAACCGAGGAAGGUCAUUGGAAACUGGAGGACUUGAGUGCAGAAGAGGAGAGUGGAAUUCCAUGUGUAGCGGUGAAAUGCAUAGAUAUAUGGAGGAACACCAGUGGCGAAGGCGACUCUCUGGUCUGUAACUGACGCUGAGGCUCGAAAGCGUGGGGAGCAAACAGGAUUAGAUACCCCUGUAGUC